Molecule: long non-coding RNA, 1124 nt
Organism: Oncorhynchus tshawytscha (Chinook salmon)
Lineage: Eukaryota; Metazoa; Chordata; Actinopteri; Salmoniformes; Salmonidae
Exons: 3
Source: RefSeq, a predicted model, not a curated record
ACAGAAAUCUACGUUUUUUUCGUUAUUUCAGAAAAUGGGCACUUUCAAGGUUGACUGGGAAAGGGCUGUCGAACUGGAUGCGUUUGAUUUGGUUUACAUCGAGUGCAGUUAGCUAGCUAACGUUAACGUAGCCUCUUAGGCUGGCUGGCAAUAGAGGAGAGCUGCAGGUCCCUGGAAAGAGAGGAGAGAGGGCCUCGUAACACCCAGUGCUGGAGAUCACCCUAACUCCACAUGGCUCUGUGCUAUGCGGUGGACCCAAACUAAGUGUAGCACAGGAGGCUGCUGAGGGGAGGACGGCUCAUAAUAAGGACUGGACUGGACCAUGUGUUCGAUUACAUUCCAUUAAUUCUGUUCCCCAACCAUUACCAUGAGCCCGACCUACAAAAAUUAAAGUGCCACCGGCCACCUGUGGAGCGCAGUUGUCCGUCAAGUGUGCAGGACCUGUCCCUUCCCCACGCCCUCCUGCACCGCCAGGACCCACCGUGAACGCCUCCCCACCAUCGUAUCCAUGACCUGCUGCUCAACACACGAGGCCCGGUCAGUGGUCAAAAACAUACUGCUACUUCCUACCUGACGGGUAAGAGGACAUCACUACUUACAUAAUCAAUCAAUCUUGCAAAUUGAAAUACUGAUCAAAAAUAUAAACGCAACAUGCAAGAAUUUCAAAGAUUUUAUGGCAUUACAGUUCAUUUAAGGAAAUCAGUCAAUUGUGAAAAAAAUCAUUAGGCCCUAAUCUAUUGAUUUCACGUCAGUUGGUCACAAGAUGCCUUUAAAAGAAAAGUCACCACAACAGCACGUCAAUGGGACUCAGGAUCUCGUCACAGUAUCUCUGUGCAUUCAAACUGACAUCGAUAAAAUGCAAUUGUUUGUUGUCCAUAGCUAAUGCCUGCCCAUACCAUAAUCCCACCGCCACUAUCAGCACUCUGUUCACGACAUUGACAUCAGCAAAUCGCUCGCCCACAUGACGCCAUACACGUGGUCUGCGGUUGUGAGCUCGAUUAGACAUACUGCCAAAUUCUUUAAAAUUAUGUUGAACAUUCAAGUCUCUGGGAACAGCUCUGGACAUUCCUGCAGUCAGCAUGCCAAUUACACGCUCCCUGAAAACUUGAGACAUCUGUGGCAUU